Molecule: ribosomal RNA, 1000 nt
Filed under: Flavobacterium aquidurense
Lineage: Bacteria; Pseudomonadati; Bacteroidota; Flavobacteriia; Flavobacteriales; Flavobacteriaceae
Description: bacterial SSU rRNA
Rfam family: Bacterial small subunit ribosomal RNA
Source: RNAcentral
GAUGAACGCUAGCGGCAGGCUUAACACAUGCAAGUCGAGGGGUAGAGUUAGCUUGCUAACUUGAGACCGGCGCACGGGUGCGUAACGCGUAUGCAAUCUACCUUUUACAGAGGGAUAGCCCAGAGAAAUUUGGAUUAAUACCUCAUAGUAUAAUGACUCGGCAUCGAGUUAUUAUUAAAGUCACAACGGUAAAAGAUGAGCAUGCGUCCCAUUAGCUAGUUGGUGUGGUAACGGCACACCAAGGCAACGAUGGGUAGGGGUCCUGAGAGGGAGAUCCCCCACACUGGUACUGAGACACGGACCAGACUCCUACGGGAGGCAGCAGUGAGGAAUAUUGGUCAAUGGGCGCAAGCCUGAACCAGCCAUGCCGCGUGCAGGAUGAAGCAUCUAUGGUGUGUAAACUGCUUUUGUACGGGAAGAAACACUCCUUCGUGAAGGAGCUUGACGGUAUCGUAAGAAUAAGGACCGGCUAACUCCGUGCCAGCAGCCGCGGUAAUACGGAGGGUCCAAGCGUUAUCCGGAAUCAUUGGGUUUAAAGGGUCCGUAGGCGGGUUUAUAAGUCAGUGGUGAAAGCCCAUCGCUCAACGAUGGAACGGCCAUUGAUACUGUAGAUCUUGAAUUAUUAGGAAGUAACUAGAAUAUGUAGUGUAGCGGUGAAAUGCUUAGAGAUUACAUGGAAUACCGAUUGCGAAGGCAGGUUACUACUAAUGGAUUGACGCUGAUGGACGAAAGCGUGGGUAGCGAACAGGAUUAGAUACCCUGGUAGUCCACGCCGUAAACGAUGGAUACUAGCUGUUCGGAGCAAUCUGAGUGGCUAAGCGAAAGUGAUAAGUAUCCCACCUGGGGAGUACGUUCGCAAGAAUGAAACUCAAAGGAAUUGACGGGGGCCCGCACAAGCGGUGGAGCAUGUGGUUUAAUUCGAUGAUACGCGAGGAACCUUACCAAGGCUUAAAUGUAGAUUGACAGGUUUGGAAACAGACUUUUCUUCGGACAAUUUACA